Molecule: ribosomal RNA, 402 nt
Filed under: uncultured bacterium
Lineage: Bacteria
Description: bacterial SSU rRNA
Rfam family: Bacterial small subunit ribosomal RNA
Source: RNAcentral
GAAUUUUCCACAAUGGGCGCAAGCCUGAUGGAGCAACGCCGCGUGGGGGAUGACGCUCUUCGGAGUGUAAACCCCUUUUCGGGAGGACGAAGCAAAUGACGGUACUCCCGGAAGAAGGACCGGCUAACUACGUGCCAGCAGCCGCGGUAAGACGUAGGGUCCGAGCGUUGUCCGGAGUUACUGGGCGUAAAGCGCGCGCAGGCGGUUGGUUGCGUCGGGUGUGAAAGCCCCCCGCUCAACGGGGGAGGGUCAUUCGAAACGGGCCAACUGGAGGCAGGGAGAGGUCGGUGGAAUUCCCGGUGUAGUGGUGAAAUGCGUAGAUAUCGGGAGGAACACCAGUGGCGAAGGCGGCCGGCUGGACCUGACCUGACGCUGAGGCGCGAAGGCGUGGGGAGCGAACGG